Molecule: ribosomal RNA, 466 nt
Filed under: uncultured bacterium
Lineage: Bacteria
Description: partial 16S ribosomal RNA
Rfam family: Bacterial small subunit ribosomal RNA
Source: RNAcentral
GAUGAACGCUGGCGGCGUGCUUAACACAUGCAAGUCGAACGAUGAAGCCCAGCUUGCUGGGUGGAUUAGUGGCGAACGGGUGAGUAACACGUGAGUAACCUGCCCUUAACUCUGGGAUAAGCCUGGGAAACUGGGUCUAAUACCGGAUAGGAGCGUCCACCGCAUGGUGGGUGUUGGAAAGAUUUAUCGGUUUUGGAUGGACUCGCGGCCUAUCAGCUUGUUGGUGAGGUAAUGGCUCACCAAGGCGACGACGGGUAGCCGGCCUGAGAGGGUGACCGGCCACACUGGGACUGAAACACGGCCCAGACUCCUACGGGAGGCAGCAGUGGGGAAUAUUGCACAAUGGGCGCAAGCCUGAUGCAGCGACGCCGCGUGAGGGAUGACGGCCUUCGGGUUGUAAACCUCUUUCAGUAGGGAAGAAGCGAAAGUGACGGUACCUGCAGAAGAAGCACCGGCUAACUACGUG